Molecule: ribosomal RNA, 496 nt
Filed under: uncultured Bacteroidota bacterium
Lineage: Bacteria; Pseudomonadati; Bacteroidota
Description: bacterial SSU rRNA
Rfam family: Bacterial small subunit ribosomal RNA
Source: RNAcentral
AAAGGAAUUGACGGGGGCCCGCACAAGCGGUGGAGCAUGUGGUUUAAUUCGAUGAUACGCGAGGAACCUUACCAGGGCUUAAAUGUAGACCGACAGGGGUGGAAACACCCCCUUUUUCGAACGGUCUACAAGGUGCUGCAUGGUUGUCGUCAGCUCGUGCUGUGAAGUGUCGGGUUAAGUCCCAUAACGAGCGCAACCCCUAUUUCUAGUUGCCAGCGGUUCGGCCGGGGACUCUAGACGAAACUGCCAGCGUAAGCUGUGAGGAAGGUGGGGAUGACGUCAAAUCAUCACGGCCCUUACGUCCUGGGCCACACACGUGCUACAAUGGCCGGUACAGAGAGCAGCUACCACGUGAGUGGAUGCGAAUCUCCAAAGCCGGUCUCAGUUCGGAUCGAAGUCUGCAACUCGACUUCGUGAAGUUGGAUUCGCUAGUAAUCGUAUAUCAGCAAUGAUACGGUGAAUACGUUCCCGGGCCUUGUACACACCGCCCGUCAAA